RNAcentral lists this ribosomal RNA (253 nucleotides) under uncultured bacterium. Its description in RNAcentral is "partial 16S ribosomal RNA". It matches the Rfam family "Bacterial small subunit ribosomal RNA", at positions 524 to 776 of the family's 1533-position model. The record is from RNAcentral.
UACGAAGGGGGCAAGCGUUGUUCGGAAUGACUGGGCGUAAAGGGCGCGUAGGCGGUUCGUUGCGUCAGAUGUGAAAGCCCCGGGCUCAACCUGGGAACUGCAUUUGAUACGGGCGGGCUUGAAUCCAAGAGAGGGUGGUGGAAUUCCCAGUGUAGAGGUGAAAUUCGUAGAUAUUGGGAAGAACACCAGUGGCGAAGGCGGCCACCUGGCUUGGUAUUGACGCUGAGACGCGAAAGCGUGGGGAGCAAACAGG